This 372-nucleotide ribosomal RNA is filed under the name uncultured organism. Its description in RNAcentral is "partial 16S ribosomal RNA". It matches the Rfam family "Bacterial small subunit ribosomal RNA", at positions 527 to 896 of the family's 1533-position model. The record is from RNAcentral.
GGAGGGUGCUAACGUUGCUCGGAAUUACUGGGCGUAAAGCGCAUGUAGGCGGUUUACCAAGUCUCGUGUGAAAUCCCUGGGCUCAACCCAGGAAGUGCACGGGAAACUGGUAGACUAGAGUUCGGUAGAAGUGGGCGGAAUUCCCGGUGUAGAGGUGAAAUUCGUAGAUAUCGGGAGGAACACCAGUAGCGAAGGCGGCUCACUAGGACGAUACUGACGCUGAGAUGCGAAAGCGUGGGGAGCAAACAGGAUUAGAUACCCUGGUAGUCCACGCCGUAAACGAUGGAUACUAGGUGUUGGGGGCUUGACCCCCCUUCAGCGCCGACGCUAACGCAAUAAGUAUCCCGCCUGGGGAGUACGGUCGCAAGACUA